RNAcentral lists this ribosomal RNA (543 nucleotides) under Triticum aestivum (bread wheat). Its description in RNAcentral is "partial small subunit ribosomal RNA". The record is from RNAcentral. Lineage: Eukaryota; Viridiplantae; Streptophyta; Magnoliopsida; Poales; Poaceae.
AUGGCGGGACUGAAGCCCAGCGUCAACCUCUUCGCGCUCCUCGACCGCAACGAUCCCGGCGACAAACUCGUGACCGACCUCGACGACGCCAAUGCCAAACAAGAUGCGACGGCGGCGGCCAAGCACAAGAAGACGGCGGCGCCGGCUGCCAGUCUUACCAAGGAUCUAUUGGCCCAGGCAUACCCUACCGCACGGGAUUACGUGAUCAGGAAAAAUCAGCUGGAGAGACGGGCCAGGGCCGAGGCCGAGGCGGCGGCAAGGGCAAAGACGAACAUCGGAGUUUCCGGCGGUGAUAAGAGCGCGGGGGCUUCGGCCGACAGCAGCAAGGUACAAGAUGGAGCAAGGCGAGGCAUCAGAUACAGCAAUAACUACUACAACAACGGAGCAUCGAGGAAGCAGCAACCCGGCAUGCCGGGAAAGUUUGGAGCUCCACAGAGGCAGCUACCCAACAUGCCGCUGAACGGGGCGCCCCCUGCAGAAGGCGUGGAGGCGCCGCCGCCACCGAGCCUAGAUGACACCAACGAGUUCCCUUCGUUGAAGUAG